AUCCCUCACUGCUAAGCUAUCCCUCACUACUAAGCUAUCUCUCACUGCUAAGCUAUCCCUCGCUGCUAAGCUAUCCCUCGCUGCUAAGCUAUCCCUCACUACUAAGCUAUCUAUCACUGCUAAUCUAUCGCUGCCAACCUAUCUAUCGCUGCCAAUUUAUCUACCACUGCCAAUCUAUCUAUUGCUGCUAAUCUAUUGCUGCUGCCAAUCUAUCUAUCGCUGCUAAUCUAUUGCUGCUGCUAAUCUAUCUAUCGCUGCUAAUCUAUCGCUGCUAAUCUAUCGCUGCUAAUCUAUCGCUGCUAAUCUAUCGCUGCUAAUCUACCGCGGCGAAUCUAUCUAUCACUAUCAUUACUAGUUCAAAAUAGAACUAGAGCAUAAAUACACUAAACUUCUUUUGAUAGGUAAUGAUUUUUGGUAACACUCAUAGCAUUAUAUCAUCUAUAUAGAGUAAAUCAUGGUCCCAUUUGGUCCCAUUUUAACAAAAUGGGACCAAAUGGGACCAGAAUCAGUAAUUUAUAAGAAGAACAUGACCUGGGACU
This 539-nucleotide small RNA is filed under the name Histoplasma ohiense. RNAcentral describes it as "hypothetical lncRNA". The record is from RNAcentral. Lineage: Eukaryota; Fungi; Ascomycota; Eurotiomycetes; Onygenales; Ajellomycetaceae.